Molecule: small nuclear RNA, 107 nt
Organism: Suncus etruscus (white-toothed pygmy shrew)
Lineage: Eukaryota; Metazoa; Chordata; Mammalia; Eulipotyphla; Soricidae
Source: RefSeq, a predicted model, not a curated record
GUGUUUGCUUCAGCAGCACAUAAACUAAAAUUGGAAUGAUACAGAGAAGAUUAUCAUGGACCCUGCAAAAUAAUGACAAGCAAAUUUGUGAAGUGUUUCAUAUUUUG